GAUGAACGCUGGCGGCGUGCCUAAUACAUGCAAGUCGAGCGAACAGACGAGGAGCUUGCUCCUCUGACGUUAGCGGCGGACGGGUGAGUAACACGUGGAUAACCUACCUAUAAGACUGGGAUAACUUCGGGAAACCGGAGCUAAUACCGGAUAAUAUAUUGAACCGCAUGGUUCAAUAGUGAAAGACGGUUUUGCUGUCACUUAUAGAUGGAUCCGCGCCGCAUUAGCUAGUUGGUAAGGUAACGGCUUACCAAGGCAACGAUGCGUAGCCGACCUGAGAGGGUGAUCGGCCACACUGGAACUGAGACACGGUCCAGACUCCUACGGGAGGCAGCAGUAGGGAAUCUUCCGCAAUGGGCGAAAGCCUGACGGAGCAACGCCGCGUGAGUGAUGAAGGUCUUCGGAUCGUAAAACUCUGUUAUUAGGGAAGAACAAAUGUGUAAGUAACUAUGCACGUCUUGACGGUACCUAAUCAGAAAGCCACGGCUAACUACGUGCCAGCCGCCGCCGUAACAC
This 516-nucleotide ribosomal RNA is filed under the name uncultured bacterium. RNAcentral's name for it is "bacterial SSU rRNA". It matches the Rfam family "Bacterial small subunit ribosomal RNA", at positions 28 to 526 of the family's 1533-position model. The record is from RNAcentral.